UCUGCACAGCUUGGGGGCACCUGGCAGCGGGAGCGUCCCCGCUGUCCUGUGUCCUCCCGGCCUCCGCCUGCCCCGGGGGAGCGCAGGAUCCUGGGCUGUGUCCCCCGGUGCCCUGGGCUCCGGGGCCUGCG
This 131-nucleotide microRNA precursor is filed under the name Canis lupus familiaris (dog). RNAcentral describes it as "miRNA (ENSCAFG00845030396.1)". Lineage: Eukaryota; Metazoa; Chordata; Mammalia; Carnivora; Canidae. The record is from RNAcentral.